UCCCUCAUCUUUUUCCCCCUAGUUUAAACAAAUAAAUAAAUAGGCAUACAAUUAAAAACUGAAGUGCUGCUCCAAACAAAACAUUCAACAACGCAGCUAAUUUACAGGCUCUUUACACACCUCAAACGCAAAUUUUUGAACAUCCAUUCUUACUUUCUAAAAAUAGAAAUUUGAUAGAGACAAGUUUUCAGACGUGCACACACAACAAUGAAACUGAGUACUUCAACCACACCACUGUUGGCUCUGUUUCUCAUAACUCAGACUGUGAUUAAUCCCCUUCGAUCCCUUCACUAGCAGGGGAUCAAUCAUCCUCCUCAAGGUGGCGCUUUUUACUUCUCUUCUCAUAUCGCUUUGUAGCCCUUCCAACUCGUGAGUCAUCAAAGCCACUCAAAUCAGAAUCAGAUGGUGAUGCUGGCUUCCUGGUCUUUCGCCUGUGCCUUCUGCCAGAGUCAUCAGAUGCAUUUGAUUCAGAAUCAUCAGCAUAUCUACGACUUCUCCUCCUAUUCUCCUUCCCACUCUUCCUCUUAUGAUGCCGCCUCUCUUCCUCUUCUUCAGAGGACUCAUCCCUCUUUCUCCUUUUCU
Molecule: unclassified non-coding RNA, 582 nt
Filed under: Hevea brasiliensis (rubber tree)
Lineage: Eukaryota; Viridiplantae; Streptophyta; Magnoliopsida; Malpighiales; Euphorbiaceae
Source: RNAcentral